This 231-nucleotide ribosomal RNA is filed under the name uncultured bacterium. Its description in RNAcentral is "partial 16S ribosomal RNA". It matches the Rfam family "Bacterial small subunit ribosomal RNA", at positions 104 to 334 of the family's 1533-position model. The record is from RNAcentral.
CGGGGUGAGUAACGCGUGGGUAACCUGCCUUAUACAGGGGGAUAACAGUCAGAAAUGGCUGCUAAUACCGCAUAAGCGCACAGAGCUGCAUGGCUCAGUGUGAAAAACUCCGGUGGUAUAAGAUGGACCCGCGUUGGAUUAGCUAGUUGGUGGGUAACGGCCCACCAAGGCGACGAUCCAUAGCCGGCCUGAGAGGGUGAACGGCCACAUUGGGACUGAGACACGGCCCAG